This 67-nucleotide transfer RNA is filed under the name Cavia porcellus (domestic guinea pig). It matches the Rfam family "tRNA". Rfam says of the family: Transfer RNA (tRNA) molecules are approximately 80 nucleotides in length. Their secondary structure includes four short double-helical elements and three loops (D, anti-codon, and T loops). Lineage: Eukaryota; Metazoa; Chordata; Mammalia; Rodentia; Caviidae. The record is from Rfam by way of RNAcentral.
GGGGAUUUAGCUCAGUGGUAUAAGCACCUGCCUUGCAAGCAGGCAGUCAUCGUGAGUUCGAUCCCUG